GGGCUGCUGGUGAAGUGGAGAUCACACCCUACAUCUAGUAGGGAGACGUGGGUUCAAUUCCCGCGCAGUCCA
Molecule: non-coding RNA, 72 nt
Organism: Phialocephala subalpina
Lineage: Eukaryota; Fungi; Ascomycota; Leotiomycetes; Helotiales; Mollisiaceae
Source: the annotation of a GenBank genome assembly